RNAcentral lists this ribosomal RNA (2900 nucleotides) under Klebsiella pneumoniae MGH 64. RNAcentral's name for it is "bacterial LSU rRNA". It matches the Rfam family "Bacterial large subunit ribosomal RNA". The record is from RNAcentral. Lineage: Bacteria; Pseudomonadati; Pseudomonadota; Gammaproteobacteria; Enterobacterales; Enterobacteriaceae.
UUAAGCGACUAAGCGUACACGGUGGAUGCCCUGGCAGUCAGAGGCGAUGAAGGACGUGCUAAUCUGCGAAAAGCGUCGGUAAGGUGAUAUGAACCGUUAUAACCGGCGAUGUCCGAAUGGGGAAACCCAGUGCAAUUCGUUGCACUAUCGUUAACUGAAUACAUAGGUUAACGAGGCGAACCGGGGGAACUGAAACAUCUAAGUACCCCGAGGAAAAGAAAUCAACCGAGAUUCCCCCAGUAGCGGCGAGCGAACGGGGAGCAGCCCAGAGUCUGAAUCAGCUUGUGUGUUAGUGGAACGGUCUGGAAAGUCCGACGGUACAGGGUGAUAGUCCCGUACACCAAAAUGCACAGGUUGUGAACUCGAAGAGUAGGGCGGGACACGUGGUAUCCUGUCUGAAUAUGGGGGGACCAUCCUCCAAGGCUAAAUACUCCUGACUGACCGAUAGUGAACCAGUACCGUGAGGGAAAGGCGAAAAGAACCCCGGCGAGGGGAGUGAAAAAGAACCUGAAACCGUGUACGUACAAGCAGUGGGAGCACCUUCGGGUGUGACUGCGUACCUUUUGUAUAAUGGGUCAGCGACUUAUAUUCUGUAGCAAGGUUAACCGUAUAGGGGAGCCGCAGGGAAACCGAGUCUUAACUGGGCGUUAAGUUGCAGGGUAUAGACCCGAAACCCGGUGAUCUAGCCAUGGGCAGGUUGAAGGUUGGGUAACACUAACUGGAGGACCGAACCGACUAAUGUUGAAAAAUUAGCGGAUGACUUGUGGCUGGGGGUGAAAGGCCAAUCAAACCGGGAGAUAGCUGGUUCUCCCCGAAAGCUAUUUAGGUAGCGCCUCGUGAACUCAUCUUCGGGGGUAGAGCACUGUUUCGGCUAGGGGGUCAUCCCGACUUACCAACCCGAUGCAAACUACGAAUACCGAAGAAUGUUAUCACGGGAGACACACGGCGGGUGCUAACGUCCGUCGUGAAGAGGGAAACAACCCAGACCGCCAGCUAAGGUCCCAAAGUCAUGGUUAAGUGGGAAACGAUGUGGGAAGGCACAGACAGCCAGGAUGUUGGCUUAGAAGCAGCCAUCAUUUAAAGAAAGCGUAAUAGCUCACUGGUCGAGUCGGCCUGCGCGGAAGAUGUAACGGGGCUAAACCAUGCACCGAAGCUGCGGCAGCGACACUAUGUGUUGUUGGGUAGGGGAGCGUUCUGUAAGCCUGCGAAGGUGUGCUGUGAGGCAUGCUGGAGGUAUCAGAAGUGCGAAUGCUGACAUAAGUAACGAUAAAGCGGGUGAAAAGCCCGCUCGCCGGAAGACCAAGGGUUCCUGUCCAACGUUAAUCGGGGCAGGGUGAGUCGACCCCUAAGGCGAGGCCGAAAGGCGUAGUCGAUGGGAAACAGGUUAAUAUUCCUGUACUUGGUGUUACUGCGAAGGGGGGACGGAGAAGGCUAUGUUAGCCGGGCGACGGUUGUCCCGGUUUAAGCAUGUAGGCUGGUUAUCCAGGCAAAUCCGGAUAAUCAAGGCUGAGGUGUGAUGACGAGGCACUACGGUGCUGAAGUAACAAAUGCCCUGCUUCCAGGAAAAGCCUCUAAGCAUCAGGUAACAUCAAAUCGUACCCCAAACCGACACAGGUGGUCAGGUAGAGAAUACCAAGGCGCUUGAGAGAACUCGGGUGAAGGAACUAGGCAAAAUGGUGCCGUAACUUCGGGAGAAGGCACGCUGGUGUGUAGGUGAAGUCCCUGCGGAUGGAGCUGAGACCAGUCGAAGAUACCAGCUGGCUGCAACUGUUUAUUAAAAACACAGCACUGUGCAAACACGAAAGUGGACGUAUACGGUGUGACGCCUGCCCGGUGCCGGAAGGUUAAUUGAUGGGGUUAUCCGUAAGGAGAAGCUCUUGAUCGAAGCCCCGGUAAACGGCGGCCGUAACUAUAACGGUCCUAAGGUAGCGAAAUUCCUUGUCGGGUAAGUUCCGACCUGCACGAAUGGCGUAAUGAUGGCCAGGCUGUCUCCACCCGAGACUCAGUGAAAUUGAACUCGCUGUGAAGAUGCAGUGUACCCGCGGCAAGACGGAAAGACCCCGUGAACCUUUACUAUAGCUUGACACUGAACAUUGAGCCUUGAUGUGUAGGAUAGGUGGGAGGCUUUGAAGCGUGGGCGCCAGUCUGCGUGGAGCCAACCUUGAAAUACCACCCUUUAAUGUUUGAUGUUCUAACGUUGGCCCCUGACCGGGGUUGCGGACAGUGUCUGGUGGGUAGUUUGACUGGGGCGGUCUCCUCCCAAAGCGUAACGGAGGAGCACGAAGGUUAGCUAAUCCUGGUCGGACAUCAGGAGGUUAGUGCAAUGGCAUAAGCUAGCUUGACUGCGAGCGUGACGGCGCGAGCAGGUGCGAAAGCAGGUCAUAGUGAUCCGGUGGUUCUGAAUGGAAGGGCCAUCGCUCAACGGAUAAAAGGUACUCCGGGGAUAACAGGCUGAUACCGCCCAAGAGUUCAUAUCGACGGCGGUGUUUGGCACCUCGAUGUCGGCUCAUCACAUCCUGGGGCUGAAGUAGGUCCCAAGGGUAUGGCUGUUCGCCAUUUAAAGUGGUACGCGAGCUGGGUUUAGAACGUCGUGAGACAGUUCGGUCCCUAUCUGCCGUGGGCGCUGGAGAAUUGAGGGGGGCUGCUCCUAGUACGAGAGGACCGGAGUGGACGCAUCACUGGUGUUCGGGUUGUCAUGCCAAUGGCACUGCCCGGUAGCUAAAUGCGGAAGAGAUAAGUGCUGAAAGCAUCUAAGCACGAAACUUGCCCCGAGAUGAGUUCUCCCUGAGACUUUAAGUCUCCUGAAGGAACGUUAAAGACGAUGACGUUGAUAGGCCGGGUGUGUAAGCGCAGCGAUGCGUUGAGCUAACCGGUACUAAUGAACCGUGAGGCUUAACCUU